AAAAGAGAAGAGAAAAAGAGAAAGAGCUCAAAGAAAAGAAUAUAUCUGAGUUGAAGAAAAGAGAAAAGAAGAGAAAAAAAGAAAGAGAUACUCUCGAGCUUAAGCGUCAAAUUUCUUACUAUUGUAAGAGAGAAGAGAGAAACGCCUACGAGUGUUUAGACUGCAUUGUAUUGUAAUCAAAUCCUCUCGUAGAGAGAUAUAAUCUAAACUACUUGUAAGCAAUCGUUGAUUAAAAUUCUAAAGAGAAUUAAAACACUUGCAACUGAACUCUGUUUGAGUUGAGGAAUUUAGGUGCAAUAAUCUAGUACCAAGACUGCUCUCUUUCUUUCAUUGUGAGGAAAUGUUGGUUGGUGGUGGAAGGAAAGUUGCAACUGUGCAGAGUUCGUCGUCUCCGUGGUCGUGUUUGAAGGCGUGGUGGUUGAAGGAGAAACGUGCGCAGUGUAGGUACAUAAUCCACUAUUAAAAAUAGCCUAAACCUUUAAACGGAUUUGAUCAUCCUUCAAUGGAUGUCAACAUCCGUUUAAGGUGAAAACCAAAACUAACCUUUCGUAGACCCGACAUAGAAGCGAAGCACCAAUCACCGCACGUCGCACCGCCGCACACCAACCGCACGCCGCACACACCGCCACACCAACGAAAAAGAAGAACUGAGAGGAAUUGUUGGGACUUGGGGUGGGGAAUCAGAUCUUGGAAAGUUACUUUGUUAAAAAACAGAUCUGGAAGAAAGGACGAGAAUGAGAGAGAAGAAGUGCUGCUAGUGGUUACUAAAAUUGAAACUAGGAUUUCUGAGUUAAAUUAGUUAAAUAGGAGUAAAAGUAAAAACGAUAAUAAAAAGUAAAAAGGUUAUUUUUUGUAAUAAAAUAAGAUGUGGAAAAAAUUAGGAAGGUGGAGGGAUCAACUCCCUACAAAAUCAAACUAUUAAUAAAAUUUUAAAAAAAUGGUUGUAAUGGGUUAAUGAAUAUUUUGCUUUUAAAAAAUCUAUAAAAAAAUUAUUUUAG
This 998-nucleotide long non-coding RNA is filed under the name Vigna radiata. RNAcentral's name for it is "long non-coding RNA (VRAD_LNC017939)". Lineage: Eukaryota; Viridiplantae; Streptophyta; Magnoliopsida; Fabales; Fabaceae. The record is from RNAcentral.